Molecule: long non-coding RNA, 7887 nt
Organism: Leopardus geoffroyi (Geoffroy's cat)
Lineage: Eukaryota; Metazoa; Chordata; Mammalia; Carnivora; Felidae
Exons: 4
Source: RefSeq, a predicted model, not a curated record
AGCUCGGGCUCUGGCGGGCAGAGAGGGACGGUGGCAGAACCUGCGGGCUAGGUGGGAGGCUCACCCUCUGGGAGGAAAGGAAGCGAGGAUCGCGCGGCCGGAGAGCGAGGAGACGCUUGGAGUCCAGGGUUCGGGCCGCCCACACCUCCUCCUGCGGCGGACACGGCACAGCGGGCGGCGCACCGGCCGCAUCCGCGACCCUGAGCGCAGGGAGCAGGAGGAGAGUGGCUCAAGGAGACUUGAUUUUCUUGGGUUUGCUGCAAUUCCUUAAACCGAACCAGGCUUUCGGGGCGUUAAAGGAAAUUACUGUCUACAGGUGGCAGUGUGGAAGCCAAAACGGGAGCUUCCAGAAGUGGUUUCUGAAAAAUAAGAGUGAAUAUGCACGAGGGAGCUCGGACAGGAAUCACAAAAACCGCAGGGUCUUCCUCUGAGCCAACGGAGGAGGCGGAUUGGGGAGGCCUGAUGUGGACGGUGGCGGGCCUCCUUGUCCUUCCAGAAGCCGUAGUGGCAGCCGUGGCCUGUCUUCCAGAGGUAUGAGCUGUGAGGAUGAGCCUUUCCUUGACUAUUCUUGGGUAAGGGUGAGGGAGGAGCAACAGAGGGUGGGAGCCCCUCUUUUCCUUCUCCCUGCAGGAGUGAGUGAUCUCCAUUCUGUCCCGGAAAAUGGCCGCCCCCACCCCCGGCCCACCCUAAGGUGGGCCUUGCCCGGCUCUGCGGCUGUUUUUCCUCCCAGGAAAGCCCAGCAGGGUGCCGUGGGGUGGGUGAGGGCAGGAGGAUUGCCCGUGGCCGUGCCCAACAGCUUGAAGGAGAGACCUGAGGUGUCUGGGGGGAAAUGCCUGUGUGCUUGGAAUGUGACUCCCUGGGGAUCCCCAACCCUCAGGCAUUUCAGCAAUGGAGGCCGAGUAUGGGGUGAACGGGGCAAGGGGGGAGGGGGAUUGAGGGGCCAGGGGUACCGUUCUUCAGCUGGCUCUGGCCUGCCUCCUGGGAUGCACAGGUAACUGCCACGUGUGCCUCAUAGCAAGGGAUCGUUCGUUUUAGGAGGCAGAUGAGAAGGGAGGCAAGGACUUUCUGCCUCGCGGAUGACCGUUCGGAGACCCAAAGAAAACACUUUUCAAAGAUUUUUGGCAAGUGGCUUCUAAAGAUAAGUUUACAGUGUGGGUUUCGUCCCCAAACAUUUUUUUUUUAAUUUUUUAAAAUGUUUGGGGCGCCUGGGUGGCACAGUCGGUUGAGCGUCCGACUUCAGCCAGGUCACGAUCUCGCGGUCCGUGAGUUCGAGCCCCGCGUCGGGCUCUGGGCUGAUGGCUCAGAGCCUGGAGCCUGUUUCCGAUUCUGUGUCUCCCUCUCUCUCUGCCCCUGCCCCGUUCAUGCUCUGUCUCUCUCUGUCCCAAAAAUAAAUAAACGUUGAAAAAAAAAAAAUUAAAAUGUUUACUUAUUUUUGGUAAAGAGAGAGACAGAGCAUGAGCAGAGGAGGGUAGGGAGAGAGAGGGAGGCACAGAAUCCGAAGCAGGCUCCAGGCUCCGAGCUGUCGGCCCAGAGCCCGACGCGGGGCUCGAACCCACAAACUGCGAGAUCAUGACCCGAGCUGAAGUCGGAGGCCUAACCCACUGAGCCACCCAGGCGCCCCUCCCAACAUUUUUCUUUCUUUUUUUUUUUUUUUUUUAUGAAAAACUCCCAAGUCUGCAGCAAAGCGGAAAAAGUUUUGGAGUGGGCACACAUAAAUGCCUACCACCUGGAUUAGUAGCAUCUUAAGAUACUUGCUUUUUCAAAUACCUAACCAUCUAGUUGCUCAUCCAGCCAUCCAUGAGUCCAUUUUAUGUUCCGAUGUGGUAAAAAAACCAAAACCAAAAACCACUUUUCCCCAAAUGCUUCUGCAUUAGUAGUUCGGUAUUUGUUUUUCAAAGGCUUUGUAGGUAAAAUCUGCACGCGAGGAAACGCACAGAUCGGAAGCGUCGGGUGCGGUCUUUUCCAUCAUUUUGUCAGAUGUUACCACACCUGCCCUCUGGAUCUUGUCGCAGAAUUUCUAUCGAUUAUUCAGGAAGUGCAGUUUUAAACGCCGUUGGGAAUGAGACCGUAUGAGGAGCAUGUUGUAAAGAUGCUGUUCGCUGUAACAUGAAGUUUGUGCCUUUACCACCCUGGCCUUUCUCUUAGUUCUUUUCCCCUCUCCACUCCCUUUCUCCUCCCCACCCCCUCCCCGCCAGGAGGGCGGGCGGUGGUAAGAAAGCAGAGUGGUUGAUUGAAGAUUUUUUUUUAAAUUUUACUUCGAUACCUUUAUGAGGCAUUUUUUUUUUUUUAUUUGAGGGAGGAAGGGGACAAGGGCAAAGGGAGAGAGAGAGAGAGAGAGAGAAAGACAGAGCACAAGCAGGGGAGGGGCAGAGAGAGAGGGAGGCACAGAAUCCGAAGCAGGCCCCAGGCUCCGAGCUGUCAGCACCGGAGCCUGAUGUCGGGCUCGAAUUCCCGAACCGCGAGAUCGUGACCUGGGCUGAAGUCAGACACACCUUCUAGAAGGAGUGUACCGUUUACUUGGGAAGAGAGGAUGGAGGUAUGUGGUAGGUCGUGAAGAAGCAGGAUAUGGUUAAGUGUAGGAAGUGCUCCAAGAGCCAGCAGUGGCUGGCAGCCAGCGAUGAGGGAAGGUUCUGGAGGGGUAUCUGCUUUGAGGUGGUUCUGUGUGGAGGGAGAGGAAAAGGGGAGAGGGCUUUCAAGGUCCCUGUGGCCUGCUCACAGCAGGGACGCUUUGGCCUUCAAUCCAGCAGAACUGAUGGCCGAUUCGAGGAGGUCUUGACCGAUAAUGUUGAAAAGGUAACUUGUCACGAUUGUGACGGGCCGUAAGUGACCGGUCCUUUGGAAAGGCCAGUACGGUCUCUAGUGUUCCCUGGAUUAUUUUCCAUUUCUCCCCUGUGGUUAGCAGAAAUCCUACUCUUUGAUUUUUUUUCUUUUGGUCAGGAGAACGAAUGGUAUCCGUUUCUCGAUCCAUGGUUUGAAUAAGAAACUUUUCAUCUGAAGGUUUAAAGGCGAGGGUCCCCUUUUCACGAGAAGAAUGAAGAGUUGUACUCCUUUUAUUAAUGGGGACUUGGUCACUGUUGAAACCACAAACAAACAAAAAAGGCCCAGCAGCAUUUCUUGCAUAUAGUUACUGGGCUCCUUAAACGUUGCCAAAUACCGGAGGGAAAGGAAAAUCAGAAAAGUUUGAGGGGGGGGGGUUGGUGGUUUAAAAAAUAUAGUGACUAACUCCUUGUGCUGACUAAUGCCAGUGAACUCAUAAUGAGUAACAAUAGUGAAUUUAGAAGGGAGAUUAAAUAGAACAGCUAUUUAAAGGUUGCUUUAAUUCAAAAGACAGCCGAGUUGGUCACACAAGUCAGGAUUCCCUUUGGGAAAUUCAGAAGUAGUUCAUUUCACCCCUACAAGGAAGGUUCUGUCUCUCUCCUUUAUCGAAAGGAGUCCUCUUAGGGUGGUUAGAGAUCAGUUCUGUCAAGGGUGGCUCCUUUUCCACUCGUCUCUUGGGGUGGGGGGAUUCUUGGCAGAUGAUCUUGCUUGUGCUUUUGUGUUGGAGAAGUAACAUAGGUGGCCGCUGAUAAGCAAGAACAACCAAUCGAUGUAAAAGGACAAACAAACAAACAAACAAAACUUGGUUGGUGAUGCCCGUGAACUGGAAACGCAAGGUUUGCUUGAGUUUAUUUUCUCAGUUUUUGUUGCUAACCGUGGCAUACAAAGAGAGGAACUGCCCGACCGUCCUUUUCGUAUCUGUAAAUUUUUUCAAUUGAAUAUUUUUUAAAAUGAAGAUUAUAUAAUCGAGCAACAGUGCAGCUGACCAAAAGGUACAAACAUGGGAAAGUCUGUUGUGGAAUUUUCAAUGAUCUGAGUGUUGACCGGAAAAUGGUUUUGUUUUUUUUUUUUUUUUUCCAUCCUUGUUGAAAAUAUUUAAAAAAUAGAUUUUUUCAGUUUAUUUUUUGGGAGAGAGAGGGAGGGAGAGCAGGGGAGGGGCAGAGAGAGAGGUAGAGCGAGAAUCCCACGCAGGCUCCGCACUGUCAGUGCAGAGCCUGAAAUGGGGCUCGAACCCAUGAACUAGGAGAUCAUGACCUGAGCCGAAAUCCAGAGUCAGACGCCUAACUGACUGAGGCACCCCGAAAAUAUUUUUAAAUGUUCAUUUUCCUUGGAACUCCUUUUUCCCAACUUCACUUGACCCUGAGACAGAUAAGGGGACUUGUCAUUUCCUGUCACACCAUCUGUCGUAUUUUUAUUGAUGCAGAUGAGGGAACCGGUCUCUAAGUCCCCAGUAGACUCCAGCCCAGUGCCCAGCAUGUAGUAGGUACUUACUAGUUGAUCAAAAAAAAAAAAAAGGUAAUCACAUUAAAGAUGGAUUUGUCUAGAUGUGUUUUGGGGAUGAUGAUGUCGUAGAUGAUUUUAUCUUGAAAAACAUAUCACACUCAUCUAAACCUGUGACAUGACUGCAUAUUCACCUUUUAGCUAAAAUCUUUACAUGAGUUUAUUUUCCCAUUGCUUUUUCUUUUUGUAAGUUUACUCCUUUUUUUAGUAAUCUCUACACCCACCGUGGGGCUUGAACUCACAACCCCGAGAUCAGGAGUCCCAAGCUCUACCGACUGAGCCCGGCAGGCGCCCCUCGUAUUGUUUUUUUCUGUUACAUUUUGUUUUCUCUCAGUAUUUGGGAUUUCCAGGCACUUAGGUCACUCUUCAGUUUUAUAUUGUGUAUGUAUUGAGAACAUAAUAAUAUUAUAAUUAUAUUUCUAUAUAGAUAAUUUUCCCCGUUUAAUAUGAUAAAUAAGUAAGAAAAUUAUCUCAAAAUGCAUGAAUUUGAAUGGCAUGAAUAGAGAAGACAAAGCCUCGUUUCCUUGGUGAAGAUAUUAUCUGAAGGUCUUUGAACAAUUUAUUGAAUGGGGUAUUUAUUUAACGAAAUUCAAGUCCAUAGGCAAGUUCACGAGCAAUUUUGCUUUUUUUAAAGAAAUCUAAUGGCUUGGAAAUAAUGAAUUGAAAUUCUUAUUAAAGCAUAUGAGUUUUCUCUCAGUUUAAUUUCUUCAACAUGAAGAAGCCAAUAUUUGCAUGUAAAGCUGGAGGUAAUUUAAGUAAUUUUGCCUUCAAUUCAGCAGACUUCUUUUUCAGAGUUCGAGGUGCUGAGGGCAGACUCCCAAAAUACCCUUCCCCCCCCCAACUGGUGGUUAAUUUAGAUGAAGUUUUAGAGCACAAGAAAAAGCACCCAUACUGUAGAACUUGGUGUGGUAGUUAAGGAAAAUUUCUCGUAAAAAUUUGGCUUUCACAAUCAGAGGAAACAGUUUUUAAAAGGAAAUCGUUUGUAAGAUCCAAUUUGGUCAUUGUCUUCUACCCUUUAUAGACUUUGUUGCUUAUAGGAGAGUGAGAAACGAAUAGAGAGAGGGAUUUCUAUGGACAUUUAAUUAAAGAAUUGCCUCAAGCUUUUUGCGUGCCACCUUAACCUAAACUGGGAUCGUCUCCUGUUUUCCUGUCUUCUGGUUGGGGCUGGGGCCAGGUGCUAGAAGGAUGCUCUCUCCUGUAGAAUCACUAUUUCCAGUUCGUUCGGAUGUACUAUAAAUGUUUAUUCCGUACCAUUCAGAGAUCGAAUGCUCUCCAAUCUUAUCCGAUCCAGAACUUGGGAAAUAGGUUCGUGAACAGCAUGACUCGAUUUUCAUUUUGACAUGUAAGCGCCCCCAAAGGCGUUUAAUCCCUUCUUUUCUUUUUCUUUUUAAAAUUUUUUUUUCGUUUACAUUUUAUUUAUUUUUGAGAGAGAAAGAGAGGACACGCGAGCGCCAGUGGGAGAGGGGCAGAGAGAGAGAGGGAGACACAGAAUCUGAAGCAGGCUCCAGGCUCCGAGCUGCCAGCACAGAGCCCGACGUGUGGGGCUCGAACUCACAAACCGGGAGAUCGUGACCUGAGCUGAAGUCGGACGCUUAACCCAUUGAGCCACCCAGGCGCCCCUGAUCCCUUUAAAAAAAAAAAAAAUCACAUUAGCGAUGCUGGAAAUCCCUUGCCUAAACUCAAACUUCAGAAUGGAAUGGAACUCAGUCUCUUGGGCCUGUUAGAGCUUCUCAGCAGAGAGCAGUGGCAAGGAGCACGGGUGACCGAAAUGUUUUACAAGGAAGUUAUUGAAUGGACCAGGAAAUGCUGCAGGUCCAUCAGAUUAAAGUGCAGAAACCAAACCAUCCUGGAUCUCGUAGACUUAGCUGUUUGCGGGAGGACGGGAAGCUUUUAAUGUCGGUCACCGCUAAGGAACACGGGUUGCUUCAGGACGGGGCACGAAUGACGGAAUUCCUUAAACUUGAUCUCAAAAUUCUGGAAUGCGAAUGAAGCUUGAAUCCUCAAGAAGACAUUUGAAGAAAAUAAAGCAAACAUUGUUUCAUGUAGCAAGAGCCAAGUCAUAGAACCCAUUGUCCGUUGACGCCAGUAAAUGAGCUCAAGAAAAAUUUCUAUCAGGUGACGCCGGAAGAGGGGUCUCUGGUCACUGCAGAAAAUAGGGUGCCGUCUACCCGGACCCUUUCCCUAGUGGAGUCAAAUCCUGUUGUGCAUUAAAUACUUUCAGAAGAUGCAGGUUCCUCCUAAAAACCCAUAACAAUGGAUUUUCUUUCUCCGAGGGUGUGUGUGUGUUUUUUUAACCUUUUUCUUUUGAGCUGAUUUUGCGUGUGCAGAAGAGUUGCAAAAAAUACCAUGAACAGUUCCUGUAUACCCAUCAGCCAGUUUCUUCAAUCUCACGUUAACAGUGGUACGCCUACCAAGACCAGGAAAUGAACGUUGGUGCAAAACGGCCAACGAAACUCCACGUUUUAUUGAGAUCUCUCACCAUUUUCCCGCUUGUGUUCUGUUUCCGUUCCAGGAUCUCAUCCAGGACCCUACAGUCCUUUUAGUUAUCUCGUAUCCAUUCUCCUCCAAUCUGAGUCGGUCCCUCCGUAUAAAGGGUGUUUAUUACCAAGAAUCCCUAGAGAUCAUGGCUGUUAGGUACAUUUGAUAAUAAAGGGGAUUUAGAGUGUUGAAAGGUAGUUACGAAAUAAGAAUUUUAAUCUAGACACUUGCGAGCAUCACUGAACGUAUAGAGUUAUCAGCUCUAUUUAUUUAUUUAAAUGUUUAUUUUUGAGAGAGAGAGAGAGAGAGCAAGAGAGAGAGAGAGAGAGAGAGAGAGCGUGUGUGCAUGCGUGCACAGGAGGGGCAGAGAGAGGGGAACAGAGGAUCCCAAGUAGGUUCUGUGCUGACAGCGGAGAGCCCGAUGUGGGGCUCGAACUCAUGAACCGUGAGAUCACGACCUGAGCUGAAGUCGCAUGCCUACCUGACUGAGCCACCCAGGCGCCCCUACGAGAUUUUAUUUUUAAGCAAUCUCCACCCAACCUGGGGCUCAAACUCACAGCCCCAACUGAGAUCGAGAGUCGUGUGCUGUACUGACUGAGCCAGCUGGGCACCCCUUUAUUUUAAGACCACCCCAACAUCUUCUAAAAUCAUUUUUUUUAAUAUUUGCAAAAUGCUUUAGAAAGUUCUACUUGCUCUGAAAAGUAGUGAGAGGCAGGAACCAAGCUUUGACAAUUUGCUCAUUUUACUUAAAAGCAAAUUGAGCCAUAGGGGAGUUGUAUAUUUUGCAUGCACUUGAACAGAAGUUUCAGGCACACUGGCAGGUGGAAAAAAAGACGGCAAAUUACCACAGCGAUUGAAAAGUAAACCUCAUUUCAUCAACCUUUUUUUAUUAUGACAGUAACUGAAAUUGAGAAGGAAAGACAAAAUCUUCCAAAAUUGUAUACCCUCGAAUAAAUCAAAUGUUUUACUCGUCAAAAGGUGAGAUCGUAAGUGCUUUCAAAUGCCUUCAAAAUAUUUGUCCCGUAUAUCUAGUUUGUGUUAAGAUUAUUUAUUUAUGUUAUGAGAGAGAGCGUCAGCGUGAGCGGGGGAGGG